Molecule: ribosomal RNA, 437 nt
Filed under: uncultured bacterium
Lineage: Bacteria
Description: bacterial SSU rRNA
Rfam family: Bacterial small subunit ribosomal RNA
Source: RNAcentral
AUGGGAACGCGAAGAACCUUACCUAGACUUGACAUCUUCUGCAUUAACCGUAAUGGAUGAAAUCCCUUCGGGGACAGAAUGACAGGUGGUGCAUGGUUGUCGUCAGCUCGUGUCGUGAGAUGUUGGGUUAAGUCCCGCAACGAGCGCAACCCCUAUUAUUAGUUGCUAACAUUAAGUUGAGCACUCUAGUGAGACUGCCCGGGUUAACCGGGAGGAAGGUGGGGAUGACGUCAAAUCAUCAUGCCCCUUAUGUCUAGGGCUACACACGUGCUACAAUGGUGGGAACAAAGAGAUGCAAGACCGCGAGGUGGAGCUAAACUCAAAACCCCAUCCCAGUUCGGAUUGUAGGCUGAAACUCGCCUACAUGAAGCUGGAGUUGCUAGUAAUCGCGAAUCAGAAUGUCGCGGUGAAUACGUUCCCGGGUCUUGUACACACCG